GGACAGGUGCUGUAAAACAAAAAUCUGCAUUAUCCUAGAAACUAUUCGGGGAAACUGUGCAUGGGGAGAAGGAAUAUGACAUGUAAGAGAACGUUUUAAGCGAACACUUCUUGUCAUUUAUCUUUUAGAUUUAUAGUUUGAGAUAAACAUAUUCUGAUGUUAGUUCUAUGGUAAAUUACUGGAUCUUAGAUUCUAUUCAGUAUAUCCUUUCUGCUAACCAUAAAAAUAAUGAAAUAAUAUUACUUGCAGCAACAUGGCUGGAUCUAGAGAUUAUCAUACUAAGUAAUGUUAGACAGUGAAAGACAAACAUACUAUGAUAUAUGUGGAAUCUGAAAAAAAAGAUACAAAUGAACUUAUUUGCAGAACAAAAACAGAACAAAACAGACUUGGAAAAAAUUAUCUUUAUCAAAGGGGACAAGUUGAGGGGGUGGACAGGGGAUUUGGGAUUGGCAUAUGCACACUUUAGGUAAAAGCAGUGAUUGGCCAACAGGGACCUGAAGCACAGCAGAGAACUCUACCCAAUAUUCUGUGAUAAUCUAUGUGGGAAAAGAAUCUGAUAGAGAAUGGAUGUGUGUACAUGUAUAACUAAAUCACUUUGUUGUAUGGCAGAAAUUAUACCAUUGUAAAUUAACUAUACUUCAGUAAAACUUAAAAAAAAAAAUAAAGCUUUGCCCCUUAGACAUACAGGCAGUGGAUUCUGCAGUCUACAUAAAGAAUGGUAAAGCAGUGGUUACCCUUUACUUCAUUCAUCUUGCUUAUUCAAGAUUAUAUUCCAUCUGUACCUCAAGUUGCUACAAAGAAUUGUUUUAGCAUUUAUAUUUUGCAAACAUGCUCACUGAAUUUUCAUUACCUACAUACUCCAUUGCUGUGACUAAGCAAAUGAAAUGUAGCAGUACCUUACAAUCUGUCAUGCCGAAUCAAAACAUUUCUGAUUUAGGGGUCUCAAAGCUUUUAAGUAUUUGUUUGUGUUUAAAGACAUGGGUUGAAUGUAUCCUCUUUCCAUCAUGUCUAUGAGAUUCUGUUCAAGGUUAAAGUAUAAUUACUAAUUAUACAUUGGUCAAUGCAUUUUACAGUGCAGUGGUUCUUACUUGUUUUUAGUUAAGGCAAAGCAAACACUUAUUUUUAUCCUGGGCUUUCCUAUGUGAGAGGCAUUAUAUGAAACAAAAUACAUAAAACAAAACAAAAAAACAAAAUGUGAAUUUUUAGUUGUAUAUAAUCUUAGAAAAGUAUAUCUAUUUUCACUUACAAUUGUUCUUGUGAUUUUUUGAAGCUAUUUAUAUGUUUAUUGUGUACUGUUUGUCUUGGGUAUACAUCGUCAUGAUUCUAAAUAAGUAACUAAAAAAUUGAAAAAUUUACAUAGCAGUGUGCCUGUGUAUAUCUAACACAGACAAACCUACUGAUUCUCCCUUUAAAGUAGCUAUUUGGGGUGGGGGUUGUGUAUUUAUGUGUGUCUAUAUACACAUAUAAUGCCACAUACUGAUUCUUUAAAUAGAUUCAUGAUAUUGUCAGAGUCACUUAGUCAUUUAAUCUACAUAGGCAUCAGUUGUUUCAUUCGUCAAGCAAGAAAGUUGGACUAACUGAACACUCAAGUCUCCUCUAGCUAUUUAAUAAUAACCAAAACUUCUAUAACUGCAUUAUUCUACCAUUGCAGGUUGAUUUCAUUGAUAUUUUGUGUGUAGAGAUAAACCAGUCUGCAGCAUUUCAUUGUAUAGUUUUUCAUUAGUACUUCAAGUAAAGGUGUUUUACUUAAAGAAUUAAAAUAUUUCAUGGAAGAUAUAAUUCAUAUAUAAAGGCCUGGAUGAAGCUUUUUUUUUUUCUUAAUAAAAAGACUAGCUCCUCCUAGUGAAAUGUUUGUAGGGGUUUAAAAAGUGUUCCUUUUAUAAUGUCAAAGUGUGUUUGUAUGAAUUAUCAAUGUCAAGAGAGGCAUCACUAUAACUCAUACAAAUUUGGAAAAAGUAAUUGAAAAGAUAUGUUCCUAUGUGUUAAACAGUUUUAAGUUGCAGAAUAAGGUUGGAGAAUAUUUGGAAACAUGACCCCUACAACUAUUUGUAAAAAAAUAUUUUUCAGAUACAAUACAAUAUUUAAAUAUGAAAUAUGCUUUCUUUUAUCUAAAACUAAUUCCACUAAUUUAUGUUAAAGUGAAUGUAAGAAACAAAUUAUUAGGUUUUAAAAUUCUCAAAUCCACAAGAAUAUUAAAGGACUAAGAAAACUUUUGAUAUUAACUAAUCCAGAUAUCUCAUUUAAAGAUAUUAGAAAAAUGAAGGAACAUGAAUAAAAGUAGAUACCCAUGGUCUCUUAGGUAGUGGAGUUGAUACUAGAUUUUUUUUUUCCCUGUCCAACAAUCUUUCCAGCAUACCAGGCUGCCUCACUUUCAAUGCAGAUUGGUUCCAGUGGAUUAUUAUUUUUUUUUCUUUUUAGGGCUGUACCUGCAUCAUAUGGAAGUUCCCAGGAUGGGGAUAGAACCAGUGAUGUAGCUGCUGGCCUACACCACAGCCAUAGUAAUACCAGAUCCAAGCCACAUCUACGACCUAUACCAUACAUAGCUCAUGGCAAUGCCAGAUCCUUAACCUACUGAGUGAGAUUGGGGAUCAAACCCACAUCCUCAUUCAUACUAGUCGGGUUCAUGACCACUGAGUCAUGAUGGGAACUCCCUGGAUUAAUUUUUAAGUGAGUUCUUGUCUUAUGGAUGGCGGGUCUGGAAUAUCAGAAUAAGGUUAGGAAAAAAGUAUACCGGAUAAGACUGAAAAGUUGUUCCCAUCAAAAUAAAUGAACCAUUUGCCUGGUUCCUGUGAGAAGAUCUAAAGGAUUAACCUUUCUCUUCCAAUGAAACCAGAAAGUCAAAUCAGUGAAGAAAAACCUACUAACCAAAAAUUUGCUCUUUGUAUACUUGGACUGCAUUAUGUAGAGGACUGGUAAUAGCAUUUGGAGUAAAUUUUUUUUUUAAUGUCAUGUAUAAUCAUAACCUAAUUUUUCUGUCUCAUAACUAAAAUUCAAUAAAUAAAUGAAAAUAAAAAUAUCACCAUAUUUACUUGCUGGAACUCAGGGAAGUUAAUUUAUUUGAUUUUAUCUGUUAUAAUCCUGCAUACAAAUAUGCACAAAUAAACAUACAUGUGUGCUCUAAAAUGUUGUGACAUCACUAAAAUAUAAAUUCUCUGCCUACAUAUUUACUGGUGUUUUAUAUGAGAAAUCGUAAUGUUAUGCAAAUAUAUUCAAUUUCUUAAUCAUAGUUUAGGUUUUCUUUAAACACUAUGUGAUAGCAAAUAAUUAAUGAAACUAUCAUAACUGAAAAAAUGAAGUGGAAAGAGUUUGAAUUUCAAAUUCAAAUAGAACUGAAUUUGAAAUCCAGAUAUAUUACUUGGGCAAAUUUCCUAAUCUCCUUAUUUUUUUUUUAUUAAACAGAAUUAACUGAAAUAGUUUUGAGGACUCAAUGGGAUAACAUAUAAGCAAGCUAAUUUAGUAAAUUAGGAAACAAUAAAAAAAAAAACUAUAGAAUCAUUUCAAUGUAUUUUCUCUGGCUGUAAAUCCUGACUUACAAAGAUAGGUAGAUAAUCAGCCUUAAAUUGCAGAGUUCUAAUUUCUUAAGAUCAAACAAUAUUUUUACACAUGUAAAGAAAAUUAGAAUAUGGUCUUUUAAUUUACAUUUACAUUUUAUAAUAUUUAAUAUAAAGCAUUCAACACAAAAUGAACACUUAAACUGGAAUAAUUAAAAUUAAGUUUCAUUCAGAGAGAAUGUGAAUACCUCUAUAUUUUAAUAAUUUUUAAAAUCUGUAGGAUGAAGAUCCAGUGCACAAAAAUGAAAUCACACAAUGUUUAAAUAACUUAGGAUAAUCCUGAUACUUCUCAGUAUUGGGCAAAAAAAAGAUAUUUCAAUGAUGUUUAAUAAUCAUCUAUAAUUUGCAUUGUUACUACUCCUUCAGAAAAUAAUUCCUGUUAAUUCUAACCAGAAAUAACAGCUCUGUCUCUGAAAACCCAGAAAGUUUUGUUGUAUAUCUUUUGUACACCUCAAUUACUCCCUUGCGAAAUAGGGGUUGCAGACCCCGUCAUAUAUUCCCUUCUUGUCCGUUAACUCAUUGUCUUAUUGCUUUUUGAAAAUUUCAGAGUGCCUAGCACAGUGACUUUCACACUGUUCUUGAUAGCUUAUUGGUUAAUGAAUGAAUGAAUUCCUAGUUUGGUAUUUGCUAUUCUGCGCACAAAGCUGAUGUCUUUAAAAUGACAUUUUAUUUAAAUUACUACCCAACAAUGUUAUUCUAAAAAUCUUUAAAUCCAUUUCGUAUUUCAGAACACAUUAACAGUGGUCAAUAAUUUAGCUAUUAAUGUGAAGUGUCAUUUCACCAGGGAUCCAUCCUGUGAAAUGGAUGAUAUGGAAGCAUUUAUUUAAAAGAGUUUUAAAGUACUUAUGUGCAGUCCAAAGCACUCAAUUUCUAAGCUAAAUGCUUCACUAGUUCCCUCUUUGUAAAGUCUAGAUGACUUUGGCUUUAAAUUAGAGAGCAGUGCUUCCUCAUAUUCUAACUUGAAAUAUCAUCUACAUUUUGCACACUAUUUCAAGUGCUUCUGUCGCUCGAAUAACACUUUUUCUAACAUGUGGCAGUUUCAAAAGUUCUCAUAGUAUUAUUUUUUUUGAUUCUUAGAACAGCACCAUUAUUGUUUAAGGGAAUUUUUUUCAAAGCUCAUUUUAUAGAUUAAAACUCCAAGUCUUGGGAGUUCUUGGCAUGGCUCCGUGGUAACAAACCUGACUAAUCUACAUGAGGCCGAAAGUUCCAUCCCUGGUCCCACGCAGUGGGUUAAGGAUCCAGUAUUGCUGUGAACUGUGGUGUAGGUAGCAGACUCAGCUCAGAUCUGCUGUUGCUGUUGCUGUGACGUAGGCCAGUAGCUGCAGCUCCAGUUAGAACCCUGGCCUGGAACUUCCUUAUGCCCAUGGUGCAGCCCUAAAAAAACAAAAUAAAUAAAUAAAUAAAUAAAUGAAAAUGAAAAUGAAAAAAAAAAAAUCCAAGGCUUGAAGAAUUUCAGCUUCUUUGCUCAAGGUUUCAUUUGCUGGAUUGAGUAACAGUGUGAGAAUUAGUACCCAAGAUGUUCAGUAUUAUGCCAAGUGCUUUUGCCUUUUCAUACUUUUUUUCUUUAAAAUGAUAUAAAAAUAGCAUUACUAGAACAAAAACGGCCUCAGAAGAUAUUUAAAGAUAAAGCAGAAAGAGAACAAUUUGCAUUAAUGGAAACUUUCUGAUGUCAUUCAAGUCUAUAGCUUGUUGAUUGUGGUUUUUGUUUUUUUAUUCUUUUGCUUUGAUUUUGUUUUCAUCUUAACUUGCUGAUGUUUUCCAAUGCAUUUAACGUAUACUGGUGUUUAAGGCAAUUAAAACAAACAAACAAAAAGAAGGAGACAAGUAGUUAUACCAAGCCAUCAGUCUUUGUUCUUUUCUUGAGCUUUUUAAAAAUUCUCUUUCUUUUGGGUUUUAUAGAAAUUCUCCCCUGGUUCAUCCCAAGAGAUUAUCUUCAGAUGAAAUAUCAGGGUAGUUCCAAUUUUUGAAAGUCUUCUUGGUGCAGCAGGUGUGAUGUACUGAACAUUGUUCUAUUUUUAAAACAGUGACCAUUUGGGGAAUGUAGUAAAAUGUUUACCAAAAUAUUGCCUAAAAGUUAUGACAGUAUAAUUUUAUGAAAAGGAAAAAUCACACUUAUACACACACACAAACAUGCAGCCUUACCAACACACACACACAUAGAUACAUAUUCUUAAAUUUUGGUUAGAAGAGUCAUUUGGGAACUAAUAAAUUUUGGUUAGAAGAGUGAUUUGGGAACUAAUAAGCUUUCUGAGACAAAAUAACAUUCUAAAAUUUAAAGUGUUCUGGUGUGUCAAAAUGUUACAAAAAUGUCACUAUUAAAAAAAAAUAAAAUAAGAAACAGGAGUUCCCUUCAAGGCUCAGUGGUUAGCAAACCCAAGUAGUAUUCAUGAGAAUGCAGGUUCAAUCCCUGGCCCCACUCAGUGGCUUAAGGAUCCAGUGUUGCUGUGAGCUGUGGUGUAGGUCACAGACAUGGCUCGGAUCCUGAAUUGCUGUGGCUGUGGCUUAGGUGGGAAACAGCUCUGAUUCCACCCCUAACCUGGGAAAUUCCAUAUGCUGUGGGUGCAGCC
RNAcentral lists this long non-coding RNA (6118 nucleotides) under Sus scrofa (pig). RNAcentral's name for it is "lncRNA (ENSSSCG00060044841.1)". Lineage: Eukaryota; Metazoa; Chordata; Mammalia; Artiodactyla; Suidae. The record is from RNAcentral.